ACCUGGUUGAUCCUGCCAGUAGUCAUAUGCUUGUCUUAAAGAUUAAGCCAUGCAUGUCUAAGUAUAAGCAUUUAUACCGCGAGACUGCGAACGGCUCAUUAAAACAGUUAUGGUUUAUUUGAUGGUUCCUUUGCUACUUGGAUAACCGUAGUAAUUCUAGAGCUAAUACACGCACGAAGGGACGACUCACGAAGUCCUGUAUUUAUUAGAUUAAAGCCAACCACCUCCGGGUGUUCGUGGUGAAUCAUAGUAACUUCUCGGAUCGCCGGCUCUACGCCAGCGACGUGUCAUUCAAAUCUCUGCCCUAUCAGCUUUAGAUGGUAGGAUAUGGGCCUACCAUGGCGGUGACGGGUAACGGAGAAUUAGGGUUCGAUUCCGGAGAGGGAGCCUGAGAAACGGCUACCACUUCUAAGGAAGGCAGCAGGCGCGCAAAUUACCCAAUCCUGACUCAGGGAGGUAGUGACAAAAAAUAACAAUAAACCGGCUUAUGCCGGUUUAAUUGGAAUGAGUACAAUUUAAACAUCUUAACGAGGAACAAUUGGAGGGCAAGUCUGGUGCCAGCAGCCGCGGUAAUUCCAGCUCCAAUAGCGUAUACUAAAGUUGUUGCAGUUAAAAAGCUCGUAGUUGGAUUUCUGCGGGGGCGGGGCGGCCGGAUGCUUAUAGCAUCUCGAGCUAGCACUUCCCCCGCAUCCUGCCGCGAACCGUGCUACCAUUAGUUUGGUGGCGCUGGGGAUCGGCUCGUUUACUUUGAGAAAAAUAGAGUGUUCAAAGCAGGCCACACGCCUUGAAUAAGUUAGCAUGGAAUAAUGAUAAAGGACUUCGGUUCUAUUUUGUUGGUGUUCGGGACUGAAGUAAUGAUUGAUAGGGACAGUUGGGGCGGUCAGUAUUCCAAAGCGAGAGGUGAAAUUCUUAGACCUUCGGAAGACUAACAGCUGCGAAAGCGUUCCGCAAGGAUGUUCCCUUUGAUCAAGAACGAAAGUUGGGGGAUCGAAGACGGUCAGAUACCGUCGUAGUCUCAACUAUAAACUAUACCAGCUAGGGAUCGGCCGACGUUUACUUAUAUCGACUCGGUCGGCACCUUAUGAGAAAUCAAAGCAUCUGGGUUCCGGGGGGAGUAUGGUCGCAAGGCUGAAACUUAAA
RNAcentral lists this ribosomal RNA (1140 nucleotides) under uncultured Polycystinea. RNAcentral describes it as "bacterial SSU rRNA". It matches the Rfam family "Eukaryotic small subunit ribosomal RNA", at positions 1 to 1148 of the family's 1831-position model. Lineage: Eukaryota; Polycystinea. The record is from RNAcentral.